GGGGAUUCUCNAGNGGCUCNAACCUUUGCCUUGGGCUUUUGCCCAGNGUAAGUANCCUGGAGAAUAAAUGGUGGGCCAGGCCGGNUGCCNNGGCCCCNCCGUAAUNCCCGCCNCCCCAGUGGCAAUCGCGAUUAUUGGGCCUAAAGCGUUCGUAGCCGGUUCAGUAAAUCUUUUGUGAAAUUCGUNCGGCUUAAACCGUNCGGCGUGCAGNGGACACUGCCGAACUAGAGACCCGGAGGAGUCAGAGGUAUUCUUGGGGGACCGGUAAAAAUGGGAUAAUCCCCAAGUAGACCGCCGAUGGCGAAGGCAUCUGACCAGAACGGAUCUGACGGUGAGGGACGAAAGCCAGGGGAGCGAUCCGGAUUAGAUACCCGAGUAGUCCUGGCCGUAAACGCUGCGAGCAAGUUAUUGCAUUUCUUACAAUGGAUUUGCAUUGUCGAAACCCAACCCUCUNAACCUCCU
RNAcentral lists this ribosomal RNA (462 nucleotides) under uncultured archaeon. RNAcentral describes it as "partial 16S ribosomal RNA". It matches the Rfam family "Archaeal small subunit ribosomal RNA", at positions 372 to 824 of the family's 1478-position model. The record is from RNAcentral.